RNAcentral lists this ribosomal RNA (441 nucleotides) under Taurulus bubalis. RNAcentral's name for it is "partial small subunit ribosomal RNA". It matches the Rfam family "Bacterial small subunit ribosomal RNA", at positions 7 to 794 of the family's 1533-position model. The record is from RNAcentral. Lineage: Eukaryota; Metazoa; Chordata; Actinopteri; Perciformes; Cottidae.
CAAAGGCUUGGUCCUGACUUUAUUAUCAACUUUAGCCAAAUUUACACAUGCAAGUAUCCGCACCCCUGUGAGAAUGCCCCACAGUUCCCCGCCCGGGAACAAGGAGCUGGUAUCAGGCACAUCUCCCGAGCCCAUGACACCUUGCUUAGCCACACCCUCAAGGGAACUCAGCAGUGAUAGACAUUAAGCCAUAAGUGAAAACUUGACUUAGUUAAAGCUAAGAGGGCCGGUAAAACUCGUGCCAGCCACCGCGGUUAUACGAGAGGCCCAAGUUGACAAACACCGGCGUAAAGCGUGGUUAGGGAAAACUCACACUAAAGCCAAACAUCUUCCAGGCUGUUAUACGCAACUGAAGAUAGGAAGUUCAACCACGAAAGUGGCUUUACCAGACCUGAAUCCACGAAAGCUAAGGAACAAACUGGGAUUAGAUACCCCACUAUG